RNAcentral lists this long non-coding RNA (440 nucleotides) under Salmo salar (Atlantic salmon). RNAcentral's name for it is "lncRNA (ENSSSAG00000097540.1)". Lineage: Eukaryota; Metazoa; Chordata; Actinopteri; Salmoniformes; Salmonidae. The record is from RNAcentral.
UUCCUGGUAUGGCAUUCCAUCAGCCACUCUGGGGGUAGUCUGGUUCCUGCCAGUCCCACAGCUUAGAGUUCUUACUGAAGAACUCCAUUACAGUCCUUGUCACCUCCCUCAACUUCAUGGGGACAGAGAGAGGUCAGCGGAUGGGUCUGACAACACCGGUCAAGAUAUAUAAUGGAAAGCAGGGUUCUCACCUGUGUGAGAAGGGGUCCCUGGACAGGUUGAGGUGAGCCAGGUUGGAGCAGAAGCCUGACAGAUACAAACAGCUAGGGGGAGAAGGGGUCCCUGGACAGGUUGAGGUGAGCCAGGUUGGAGCGGAAGCCUGACAGAGAUACAAACAGCUAGGGGGAGAAGGGGUCCCUAGACAGGUUGAGGUGAGCCAGGUUGGAGCGGAAGCCUGACAGAGAUACAAACAGCUAGGGGGAGAAGGGGUCCCUAGACAG